RNAcentral lists this ribosomal RNA (539 nucleotides) under uncultured bacterium. Its description in RNAcentral is "bacterial SSU rRNA". It matches the Rfam family "Bacterial small subunit ribosomal RNA", at positions 777 to 1314 of the family's 1533-position model. The record is from RNAcentral.
AAUAGAUACCCCGGUAGUCCACGCCGUAAACGAUGAGUGCUAGGUGUUGGGGGGGUCCACCCCUCGGUGCCGAAGUUAACACAUUAAGCACUCCGCCUGGGGAGUACGGUCGCAAGACUGAAACUCAAAGGAAUUGACGGGGACCCGCACAAGCAGUGGAGUAUGUGGUUUAAUUCGAAGCAACGCGAAGAACCUUACCAGGUCUUGACAUCCCUCUGGAUCCCCUAGAGAUAGAGGCGGCCUUCGGGACAGAGGAGACAGGUGGUGCAUGGUUGUCGUCAGCUCGUGUCGUGAGAUGUUGGGUUAAGUCCCGCAACGAGCGCAACCCUUGAAUUUAGUUGCCAGCACGUUAAGGUGGGCACUCUAGAUUGACUGCCGGUGACAAACCGGAGGAAGGCGGGGAUGACGUCAAAUCAUCAUGCCCCUUAUGACCUGGGCUACACACGUACUACAAUGGCCGGUACAACGGGCAGCGAAGGAGCGAUCCGGAGCCAAUCCUACCAAAGCCGGUCUCAGUUCGGAUUGCAGGCUGCAACUCG